RNAcentral lists this ribosomal RNA (286 nucleotides) under uncultured prokaryote. RNAcentral describes it as "partial 16S ribosomal RNA". It matches the Rfam family "Bacterial small subunit ribosomal RNA", at positions 524 to 819 of the family's 1533-position model. The record is from RNAcentral.
UACGUAGGGGCCGAGCGUUGUCCGGAGUUACUGGGCGUAAAGCGUGCGCAGGCGGCGCGUUCUGCCCGGCGUGAAAGCCCCCGGCUCAACCGGGGAGGGUCGUCGGGGACGGGCGCGCUUGAGGGUAUCAGGGGCUGGUGGAAUUCCCGGUGUAGUGGUGAAAUGCGUAGAGAUCGGGAGGAACACCUGUGGCGAAGGCGGCCAGCUGGGAUACACCUGACGCUGAGGCACGAAGGCGUGGGGAGCGAACGGGAUUAGAUACCCCCGUAGUCCCUGAGCGGGCUGG